RNAcentral lists this RNase P RNA (614 nucleotides) under Clostridia bacterium. RNAcentral's name for it is "RNase P RNA component class A". It matches the Rfam family "Bacterial RNase P class A". Rfam says of the family: Ribonuclease P (RNase P) is a ubiquitous endoribonuclease, found in archaea, bacteria and eukarya as well as chloroplasts and mitochondria. The record is from RNAcentral. Lineage: Bacteria; Bacillati; Bacillota; Clostridia.
UGAGAAGGUGGGGCAGUCGCGGGCAGUUUAUUAACUGCGUGAGGAAAGUCCGAGCUUCACAGAGCAGGAUAACGGCUAACGGCCGCCGAGGGUGACCUUAGGGAAAGUGCAACAGAGAUAUACCGCCUGCGUAGAGUGUCGGGAGCAAUUCGGACUAUGCCUGAAAACAAAUUGUGUUUCAAAAUGGAUGGUAUAGGUCAUACAGCUCUUUUAAAAGUCAAGAACGCUCAAAAAUCUUUUGCUUUCAGGUCGAAGAUUUUUUAUCGUGAGGAUUUUUGGCUUAUAAAGGCACAAAACGGAGCAAAUCCUUAACGGCUUUGCGAGUAUUUUAACGAAGAGAAGACGGAAAUCAUCCGAUAAAAAACAGUUCGGAUUAUUCCCGACGCUCUAUGUAGGUAAGGGUGGAAAGGCGAGGUAAGAGCUCACCGGGGCACGGGGAACCGUGCUGCCCUGCAAACCCUAUCCGAAGCAACACCGACCGGAGGAGAAGCUCUUUGAGCUUCGGCGCUUGCUCGGCGAUACUCCGAAGGGUGGCUUAAGCCAUGCAGCAAUGUAUGGCGUAGACAGAUGAUUGCCUUAAAUGACAGAACUCGGCUUACAAGCCUUCUCGGCGU